GAUGAACGCUGGCGGCGUGCCUAAUACAUGCAAGUCGAGCGAACGGACGAGAAGCUUGCUUCUCUGAUGUUAGCGGCGGACGGGUGAGUAACACGUGGAUAACCUACCUAUAAGACUGGGAUAACUUCGGGAAACCGGAGCUAAUACCGGAUAAUAUUUUGAACCGCAUGGUUCAAAAGUGAAAGACGGUCUUGCUGUCACUUAUAGAUGGAUCCUCGCUGCAUUAGCUAGUUGGUAAGGUAACGGCUUACCAAGGCAACGAUGCAUAGCCGACCUGAGAGGGUGAUCGGCCACACUGGAACUGAGACACGGUCCAGACUCCUACGGGAGGCAGCAGUAGGGAAUCUUCCGCAAUGGGCGAAAGCCUGACGGAGCAACGCCGCGUGAGUGAUGAAGGUCUUAGGAGCGUAAAACUCUGUUAUUAGGGAAGAAAAGAUGUGUAAGUAACUGUGCACAUCUUGACGGUACCUAAUCAGAAAGCCACGGCUAACUACGGG
This 497-nucleotide ribosomal RNA is filed under the name uncultured bacterium. RNAcentral's name for it is "partial 16S ribosomal RNA". It matches the Rfam family "Bacterial small subunit ribosomal RNA", at positions 28 to 507 of the family's 1533-position model. The record is from RNAcentral.